UACGGAGGGAGCUAGCGUUGUUCGGAUAUACUGGGCGUAAAGGGCGCGUAGGCGGCCCGCUAAGUCGAACGUGAAAUCCCCAGGCUCAACCUGGGAACUGCGUCCGAUACUGGCAGGCUUGAAUCCGGGAGAGGGAUGUGGAAUUCCAGGUGUAGCGGUGAAAUGCGUAGAUAUCUGGAGGAACACCGGUGGCGAAGGCGGCGUUCUGGACUGCAACUGACACUGAGAAACGAAAGCCAGGGGAGCAAACGGG
This 253-nucleotide ribosomal RNA is filed under the name uncultured bacterium. RNAcentral's name for it is "partial 16S ribosomal RNA". It matches the Rfam family "Bacterial small subunit ribosomal RNA", at positions 524 to 776 of the family's 1533-position model. The record is from RNAcentral.